This 1604-nucleotide long non-coding RNA is filed under the name Hordeum vulgare. RNAcentral describes it as "long non-coding RNA (HVUL_LNC001425)". The record is from RNAcentral. Lineage: Eukaryota; Viridiplantae; Streptophyta; Magnoliopsida; Poales; Poaceae.
UCCGUCUCUUCCUCUAACUAACUACACGUAGCCCACAAAAAAAACUAACUACACCUACACCCCUAAAAAACCUAACUACACGUACUACAUGGCAUAUUCUUCUUCAUUACCUCUCUCUUGAUAGAUGGAAGACAAAUCCAUCCACGAUCUCUUUGUCUUCAUUAUCUCCCUCGCCCUCAAAGGAAAAGAAAAUCGUAGGAUGAAUUCUCUGUUUUCAAGGAGGUUUUUAUCACAAUAGUUUUCCUCAUGUAUCAGAUCCAUAUUUUUUCACUCUAUUUAUUCUGUAUAUGUUUUCUUGCAGGUUCACAAUUGAAUCAACCAUGCCUUUCCGUUUGAUUUUUAUUCAAUUUUUUCGGUCUCCACAGAUUGGAUCCUGAAUCUUCUGACCUGCAAAUUUUGGAUGCUUCGUAGAGAUCGGGUUGGAGCACAUGAACCAUGCCCGUCGUCGCUGCUGCAGAUUCGGCCACUCCAUGCCAAGGUUGUCUUUGAGUGGUCACUGUCCUAAGGUAGUUUUAGACUAAAUCAAUUCAUCAAAGAUCAGCGCGUGUACGUGCAAAGCUAGCUUCAGAAGCUAGCAGGCAGGCAGGUGGAUGGAUUCUGCCAAAGUUCCAUGUACCAAGCUAGCUCUCACACAUAGAGCCACCGGCUUCAUGCGCGUAGCUUACCGAGGAACAUGAUAGUUUCGACCAGAAACACACGCACGCACGCGACACACAGGACACAGCGAUUUUAUGGCCACUAGACCACGUUGGUCCUGUUUGAUUUCUUUCUAUUGAUCUCACUAUGGAUUACAUACAAAGUGUUAUAUACUUGCAUGUAUAUAUACUUUACAUACAAAGUGUUAUAUACUUACAUGUAUAUAUAUUAUUACUACGCUUGACUUAACCCAAACCGACUAGGCAUACACAUUCAUAUAGGAUACCCAUACACACACGGGGACACGGCAUUAACUCUAAUACCCUAAAGAGUAAAAAGUACCAAUCUUCAGAAUUUUGUGUUUGUACGUGUUAAUCUUUUUGAAUUCCUUUAAUUUGUUAUAUUCAGGUUCUUUCUUUCUUUUUUGCAGUAUAAGGUUGAAAACAAUGGUUUGCAGUAUAAGGUCAAAAAAUACUAGAAUUUGCAGAAUAAAACUUAAUAUUUUGUAGCAUGAGUGCAAAAGAAUGUAGUUGUGGCGGAUAUCAGAGUUGGUUGUACGGACGACCGUCAAGCACACAGACGCAUCGGACAUCGGUGGCGAAGGCGGGAAAACAAUACCACUGGCACUCUCUAUUUCAUAGCAGUAGGUGCCAACUGGCACAAGUAACAUGUCCACACAUAUGUAAUCAAAUGGUAUGUACCAUGAUAAAAGCAUGUUGAGACAAUUUCUCAACUCGUGAUCUUCAUAGUGAAAUUAUCGGAUCUGUUGUGUGUACUGCAUAAAUGGAUUUAUAUAUGCCAAUUGUUCUAAUUUUUAUGCCUCUAUACAUGUAACAGGUGCAAAUUCGACAUGUCAUGCUGGAGUUAGGAUAGAGACACAUUUUCAAUAGUCCUUCUCAUGACGUUGACCCUGCUCAAUAUGCCCAAUCACAAUCAAGAGUAGAUAACAAUUUAUACUAUAAAAUGGG